UACAGAGGGGGCAAGCGUUGUUCGGAAUUACUGGGCGUAAAGGGCGCGUAGGCGGCCUGCUAAGUCGAACGUGAAAUCCCCGAGCUCAACUCGGGAACUGCGUCCGAUACUGGCAGGCUUGAAUCCGGGAGAGGGAUGCGGAAUUCCAGGUGUAGCGGUGAAAUGCGUAGAUAUCGGGAGGAACACCGGUGGCGAAGGCGGCGACCUGGGUCGAGACUGACGCUGAGGCGCGAAAGCGUGGGGAGCAAACAGG
RNAcentral lists this ribosomal RNA (253 nucleotides) under uncultured bacterium. Its description in RNAcentral is "partial 16S ribosomal RNA". It matches the Rfam family "Bacterial small subunit ribosomal RNA", at positions 524 to 776 of the family's 1533-position model. The record is from RNAcentral.